This is a non-coding RNA of Equus caballus (horse), 938 nucleotides long. The record is from RefSeq and is a predicted model, not a curated record. NCBI's taxonomy places the organism in Eukaryota, Metazoa, Chordata, Mammalia, Perissodactyla, Equidae.
AAUUCUACAAGCGCUUUGUGGGGCAUCCGUGGUGGGCUCAAGCCUGCCCUUUUCAGGGAAGACCUGCAGCCUAGCGGGACUCCGACGCGGAACCUCGACGCAGGGCUGUGAGGGGGCAGGGCUAGGUUCACGAGGCACACCAGGGAAAGGGUCACUUCCGCUUCCGGGGCGGUGCUGGUGCUUUCUGCGGUACCACCGGGAAGUAACUCCAGGGAAAAUUUCUUAGAAGUAUCGUGUGCUUGGCUCCAACAGACGAGACUUCGCCGGUUCGGGCCGGCUGCCUCUCCCUCCACCUGACUCUGUGCCUAACCCAUGGAAAGUGUGCUUGACAAAUCUUCGCUAUCGAGUGAACACCGGAAAAAGACACCUGUUCCAGUUACUUUGGCCUAGGAGACUCCAAUGAAAGGCAGUGAGUCACUCGCAGCACAUGUCCUGGGAGAUCUUGGACCGGACUGAAUUUGAACUCCUGGCCCAGCUCCUGACGCUGUCAUCAAGUCGCAGUUCCCAGCUCUGCCAGUUUGCAGCCUCUACCUCAGCAUCCAAAUCUGUAGAAAGGUACCCAUUUUCUUCCACAGAGAAAACAUCCAAACGUGUCAUUGUGCUGAGACAUCAUUAGAGAUGAUAGUGUCUUUAAAGGAAAUUAGCCGAUCAAUCAAGCAAAGCUAUUGCUAAUUUUCUUUUUCUUUCCUCACCUCCACCCUCCUCUUCUUUCCUAAAUUCCUCAAAAGCAAUACCUUUCCAAAGCAAAAAGGGCCAAGGACAGGGCCUGGUCGAGAAACUCCAGGCUUGACUUUAGCGUUCUCCAGAAGGCUCGGGGGACCUCCAAAGUAGCCAGAGUGGCUUGAGAUUUUACUUUGUUUUAUAAUUGCAAUUAUAACGAAGAUAGUAAUAAUUACACCUACUAUUUGUUGAAAUGGGUACUAAUAUCAUUCCUACUU